This 1133-nucleotide long non-coding RNA is filed under the name Olea europaea subsp. europaea. Lineage: Eukaryota; Viridiplantae; Streptophyta; Magnoliopsida; Lamiales; Oleaceae. The record is from RNAcentral.
CUUUGAGCAAGAUGUGGAGAUAGGCCCAAGAAUAAUAAAUUCUUGCAAAUUUCCUUACUAUGAAACGACAGCCCAUCAUAAAGAUCAAACACCAAAUGAUUAAUAUCAAUGAAAAUAGAGUAUAAGCCCACUAAAGAUGACAAAUUAUUGGAGCAAAAAGAAUAAUAUUUGCCCAGUGAAAUAAAUCUAUAGGCCCAAUUCAAAUUGCAGCUAACUAUAUGGAAGAUAAAUAUAAGAGUUGAAUAGUGUCCAGCAAACCCAAUCAAAGUCAUAUAUUUAGAGAAGCUAGAGAGUAAUGAGGCCCAAAUAAGAAUAGAGCAGCCCAACUUCUUUGUGAAUUUUUUCCGUUUCCAAACCCAGAUUUGCAAAUAAAGCCCAUGUAUUAUCUUCUCCCAACUAAAUAGGCCCAAAACAUAGGCACGUGAACCCCUGAACCCCUCAUGAUUUGAAGAGAGAAUUGAUUUGCAUAAUAUUUGGAAGAAAGACGGCUUGCUGCAAAACUAUUGCGUGUGUCAGGGAAAAGUUUACCUUACCAUUAAUGCUUGAAGUACCUCUGUGCCGACCUCUAAAAUAGAUGAACAGACUGGUCUACAGAGGAAGUUUUCAUAGUGAUUUAAAUGGUGGAAAACAUUUCGACGGCCACUGCCGGAAGGGGUGCCGAAGACAAAAUGUUAACCAAUGAUCAAAAAGUAUGGCCGAGCCUUCAUUUCUGCCCAGACAACUAUUUGAACAACACUUCGAGUCUGAGCAUUUUUGUAGAUGCACCUGAGAAGUUCUUCGUUCAAGAAUGAAUAUCCAUUCCGAUUUUUUCAUAUUUUUGGAAGCUAUGUGAGUAUAGUAUUCUACUACUUCCUCGAGGCAACAACCAAUGAAUAUUUCUCCUCCCAGCUUGACCAUAUUCCCAAUCACAGAAAGCUAGCAGAACUAUAAAUUUAGUUUCAAUUUGUAGCUCAUUGGACUGUGUUAUUUGUUGAGGAGAUUGUUGUUGCUAAUGGGAUUGUGGAUUCAUUUGUUGAAAUUUUGGAAUUUGAUGAUGAACUAGACGUGGAUAAGAAAGAACAUAUUAAGAGUGAGAUGUUUCCUGUUGUAACAGAAAAUUCCUUGUCCAAGUUGGUUUACAUCUUUAUUUGUAU